This 299-nucleotide unclassified non-coding RNA is filed under the name plant metagenome. Its description in RNAcentral is "partial contains 5.8S ribosomal RNA, internal transcribed spacer 2, and large subunit ribosomal RNA". The stretch from base 1 to 105 matches the Rfam family "5.8S ribosomal RNA", at positions 50 to 154 of the family's 154-position model. The record is from RNAcentral.
GAAAUGCGAUAAGUAAUGUGAAUUGCAGAAUUCAGUGAAUCAUCGAAUCUUUGAACGCACAUUGCGCCCCCUGGUAUUCCGGGGGGCAUGCCUGUUCGAGCGUCAUUUCACCACUCAAGCCUCGCUUGGUAUUGGGCGACGCGGUCCGCCGCGCGCCUCAAAUCGACCGGCUGGGUCUCUCGUCCCCUCAGCGUUGUGGAAACUAUUCGCUAAAGGGUGCCGCGGGAGGCCACGCCGUAAAACAACCCCAUUUCUAAGGUUGACCUCGGAUCAGGUAGGGAUACCCGCUGAACUUAAGC